RNAcentral lists this microRNA precursor (111 nucleotides) under Marmota monax (woodchuck). The record is from RNAcentral. Lineage: Eukaryota; Metazoa; Chordata; Mammalia; Rodentia; Sciuridae.
AUAAACAAUAAUUUAGGGAUAUUGUUAAAAUCCAGACUUUGAUUUAGUAGGUUUAGUAGAAUGAGUAGAAUGAGAUUCUGCUUUUCCAACAAGCUCCCCAGUGAUGUUGAU